Molecule: transfer RNA, 73 nt
Filed under: Ictidomys tridecemlineatus (thirteen-lined ground squirrel)
Lineage: Eukaryota; Metazoa; Chordata; Mammalia; Rodentia; Sciuridae
Description: Spermophilus tridecemlineatus (thirteen-lined ground squirrel) tRNA
Rfam family: tRNA
About the family: Transfer RNA (tRNA) molecules are approximately 80 nucleotides in length. Their secondary structure includes four short double-helical elements and three loops (D, anti-codon, and T loops). Further hydrogen bonds mediate the characteristic L-shaped molecular structure. tRNAs have two regions of fundamental functional importance: the anti-codon, which is responsible for specific mRNA codon recognition, and the 3' end, to which the tRNAs corresponding amino acid is attached (by aminoacyl-tRNA synthetases). tRNAs cope with the degeneracy of the genetic code in two manners: having more than one tRNA (with a specific anti-codon) for a particular amino acid; and 'wobble' base-pairing, i.e. permitting non-standard base-pairing at the 3rd anti-codon position.
Source: Rfam by way of RNAcentral
GGGGACAUAUCUCAGUUGGUAGAGUGCUUGCCUUGCAUGCACAAGGUCCUGGGUUCAAUCCCCAGCACCACCA